This 791-nucleotide ribosomal RNA is filed under the name uncultured bacterium. RNAcentral describes it as "bacterial SSU rRNA". It matches the Rfam family "Bacterial small subunit ribosomal RNA", at positions 8 to 796 of the family's 1533-position model. The record is from RNAcentral.
AGAGUUUGAUCAUGGCUCAGAUUGAACGCUGGCGGCAUGCCUUACACAUGCAAGUCGAACGGCAGCACGGGGGCAACCCUGGUGGCGAGUGGCGAACGGGUGAGUAAUACAUCGGAACGUGUCCUGGAGUGGGGGAUAGCUCGGCGAAAGCCGGAUUAAUACCGCAUACGCUCUGAGGAGGAAAGCGGGGGAUCUUCGGACCUCGCGCUCAAGGGGCGGCCGAUGGCGGAUUAGCUAGUUGGUGGGGUAAAGGCCUACCAAGGCGACGAUCCGUAGCUGGUCUGAGAGGACGACCAGCCACACUGGGACUGAGACACGGCCCAGACUCCUACGGGAGGCAGCAGUGGGGAAUUUUGGACAAUGGGGGAAACCCUGAUCCAGCAAUGCCGCGUGUGUGAAGAAGGCCUUCGGGUUGUAAAGCACUUUUGUUCGGGAAGAAAUCCUUCGAGUUAAUACCUUGAGGGGAUGACGGUACCGGAAGAAUAAGCACCGGCUAACUACGUGCCAGCAGCCGCGGUAAUACGUAGGGUGUGAGCGUUAAUCGGAAUUACUGGGCGUAAAGCGUGCGCAGGCGGUUCGCUAAGACCGAUGUGAAAUCCCCGGGCUUAACCUGGGAACUGCAUUGGUGACUGGCGGGCUAGAGUAUGGCAGAGGGGGGUAGAAUUCCACGUAGCAGUGAAAUGCGUAGAGAUGUGGAGGAAUACCGAUGGCGAAGGCAGCCCCCUGGGCCAAUACUGACGCUCAUGCACGAAAGCGUGGGGAGCAAACAGGAUUAGAUACCCCCGUAGUCC